Molecule: small RNA, 344 nt
Filed under: Pongo abelii (Sumatran orangutan)
Lineage: Eukaryota; Metazoa; Chordata; Mammalia; Primates; Hominidae
Description: processed transcript
Source: RNAcentral
GCUGGAAUUUACUGGGUUCAUCUGAUCGACCACUUCUGUGCUGGAUGGGGCAUUUUAAUUGCAGCUAUACUGGAGCUAGUUGGAAUCAUCUGGAUUUAUGGAGGGAACAGAUUCAUUGAGGAUAUAGAAAUGAUGAUUGGAGCAAAGAGGUGGAUAUUCUGGCUGUGGUGGAGAGCUUGCUGGUUUGUAAUUACACCUAUCCUUUUGAUUCGCCUUAUAAGUUGCUGCAGACCAGCUUCUAACUGGGGUCCAUACCUGGAACAAUAUCGUGGGGAAAGAUAUGAAGGCAUGGUAGAUCCCAAAAAAGAGGCUGACCAUGAAAUACCUACUGUCAGUGGCAGCAG